AUUGAACGCUGGCGGCAUGCCUUACACAUGCAAGUCGAACGGUAACAGGUCUUCGGAUGCUGACGAGUGGCGAACGGGUGAGUAAUACAUCGGAACGUGCCCGAUCGUGGGGGAUAACGAAGCGAAAGCUUUGCUAAUACCGCAUAAGAUCUACGGAUGAAAGCAGGGGACCGCAAGGCCUUGCGCGAACGGAGCGGCCGAUGGCAGAUUAGGUAGUUGGUGGAAUAAAAGCUUACCAAGCCGACGAUCUGUAGCUGGUCUGAGAGGACGACCAGCCACACUGGGACUGAGACACGGCCCAGACUCCUACGGGAGGCAGCAGUGGGGAAUUUUGGACAAUGGGCGAAAGCCUGAUCCAGCCAUGCCGCGUGCAGGAUGAAGGCCUUCGGGUUGUAAACUGCUUUUGUACGGAACGAAAAGACUCUUUCUAAUAAAGAGGGUCCAUGACGGUACCGUAAGAAUAAGCACCGGCUAACUACGUGCCAGCAGCCGCGGUAA
This 498-nucleotide ribosomal RNA is filed under the name uncultured bacterium. Its description in RNAcentral is "partial 16S ribosomal RNA". It matches the Rfam family "Bacterial small subunit ribosomal RNA", at positions 30 to 523 of the family's 1533-position model. The record is from RNAcentral.